Molecule: ribosomal RNA, 768 nt
Filed under: Lodderomyces orthopsilosis
Lineage: Eukaryota; Fungi; Ascomycota; Pichiomycetes; Serinales; Debaryomycetaceae
Description: Candida orthopsilosis partial large subunit ribosomal RNA
Rfam family: Eukaryotic large subunit ribosomal RNA
Source: RNAcentral
GUAGCGGCGAGUGAAGCGGCAAAAGCUCAAAUUUGAAAUCUGGCACUUUCAGUGUCCGAGUUGUAAUUUGAAGAAGGUAUCUUUGGGUCUGGCUCUUGUCUAUGUUUCUUGGAACAGAACGUCACAGAGGGUGAGAAUCCCGUGCGAUGAGAUGACCCAGACCUAUGUAAAGUUCCUUCGAAGAGUCGAGUUGUUUGGGAAUGCAGCUCUAAGUGGGUGGUAAAUUCCAUCUAAAGCUAAAUAUUGGCGAGAGACCGAUAGCGAACAAGUACAGUGAUGGAAAGAUGAAAAGAACUUUGAAAAGAGAGUGAAAAAGUACGUGAAAUUGUUGAAAGGGAAGGGCUUGAGAUCAGACUUGGUAUUUUGUAUGUUACUCUCUCGGGGGUGGCCUCUACAGUUUACCGGGCCAGCAUCAGUUUGGGCGGUAGGACAAUUGCAAAGAAAUGUGGCACUGCCUCGGUAGUGUGUUAUAGUCUUUGUCGAUACUGCCAGCCUAGACUGAGGACUGCGGCUUCGGCCUAGGAUGUUGGCAUAAUGAUCUUAAGUCGCCCGUCUUGAAACACGGACCAAGGAGUCUAACGUCUAUGCGAGUGUUUGGGUGUAAAACCCGUACGCGUAAUGAAAGUGAACGUAGGUAGGACCUCCUUUAGGAGUGCACUAUCGACCGAUCCUGAUGUCUUCGGAUGGAUUUGAGUAAGAGCAUAGCUGUUGGGACCCGAAAGAUGGUGAACUAUGCCUGAAUAGGGUGAAGCCAGAGGAAACUCUGGU